Molecule: ribosomal RNA, 486 nt
Filed under: uncultured bacterium
Lineage: Bacteria
Description: partial 16S ribosomal RNA
Rfam family: Bacterial small subunit ribosomal RNA
Source: RNAcentral
AUUGAACGCUGGCGGCAUGCCUUACACAUGCAAGUCGAACGGCAGCACGGGUGCUUGCACCUGGUGGCGAGUGGCGAACGGGUGAGUAAUACAUCGGAACAUGUCCUGUAGUGGGGGAUAGCCCGGCGAAAGCCGGAUUAAUACCGCAUACGAUCUACGGAUGAAAGCGGGGGACCUUCGGGCCUCGCGCUAUAGGGUUGGCCGAUGGCUGAUUUGCUAGUUGGUGGGGUAAAGGCCUACCAAGGCGACGAUCAGUAGCUGGUCUGAGAGGACGACCAGCCACACUGGGACGGAGACACGGCCCAGACUCCUACGGGAGGCAGCAGUGGGGAAUUUUGGACAAUGGGCGAAAGCCUGAUCCAGCAAUGCCGCGUGUGUGAAGAAGGCCUUCGGGUUGUAAAGCACUUUUGUCCGGAAAGAAAUCCUUGGCCCUAAUACGGUCGGGGGAUGACGGUACCGGAAGAAUAAGCACCGGCUAACUACGUG